Molecule: ribosomal RNA, 237 nt
Filed under: uncultured Thauera sp.
Lineage: Bacteria; Pseudomonadati; Pseudomonadota; Betaproteobacteria; Rhodocyclales; Zoogloeaceae
Description: partial 16S ribosomal RNA
Rfam family: Bacterial small subunit ribosomal RNA
Source: RNAcentral
GGACUGCCGGUGACAAACCGGAGGAAGGUGGGGAUGACGUCAAGUCCUCAUGGCCCUUAUGGGUAGGGCUUCACACGUCAUACAAUGGUCGGUACAGAGGGUUGCCAAGCCGCGAGGUGGAGCCAAUCCCUUAAAGCCGAUCGUAGUCCGGAUCGUAGUCUGCAACUCGACUACGUGAAGUCGGAAUCGCUAGUAAUCGCAGAUCAGCAUGCUGCGGUGAAUACGUUCCCGGGUCUU